This 217-nucleotide ribosomal RNA is filed under the name Myrmicocrypta sp. IT14.03. Its description in RNAcentral is "partial large subunit ribosomal RNA". The record is from RNAcentral. Lineage: Eukaryota; Metazoa; Arthropoda; Insecta; Hymenoptera; Formicidae.
GAAUUUUAUAAAUUGUAAAAUAAUAAUAGAGGUUUUAUGUAAAAUAUUUUAUAAAUUAUUUGGUUGGGGGGAUCAUUAAAUUUAAUAAACUUUAAUUGAAAAAAGUCAUGAAUUAGUGAAGAUUAUAAGGAAUAAUAUAGGAAUUGAUAAAGAAUUAAUUACCUUAGGGAUAACAGCGUAAUAUUAUUGGAGAGAUCAUAUUGAUAGUAAUGAUUGC